Long non-coding RNA from Grammomys surdaster, 169 nucleotides. RefSeq lists it as uncharacterized. NCBI's taxonomy places the organism in Eukaryota, Metazoa, Chordata, Mammalia, Rodentia, Muridae. The transcript is spliced from 3 exons. The record is from RefSeq and is a predicted model, not a curated record.
GUUGAACAGUGUCAACAAGUAUGACUACGUGCUCACUGGUUACACGAGAGACAAGUCCUUCCUGGCCAUGGUGGUGGACAUCGUGCAGGAGCUGAAGCAACAGAACUCUCGACUCGUGUACGUGUGUGACCCUGUGAUGGGAGACAAAUGGAACGGGGAAGGCUCCAUG